RNAcentral lists this transfer RNA (90 nucleotides) under Agrobacterium larrymoorei. RNAcentral's name for it is "tRNA-Ser". It matches the Rfam family "tRNA". From Rfam's summary of the family: Transfer RNA (tRNA) molecules are approximately 80 nucleotides in length. Lineage: Bacteria; Pseudomonadati; Pseudomonadota; Alphaproteobacteria; Hyphomicrobiales; Rhizobiaceae. The record is from RNAcentral.
GGAGAGGUGGCAGAGUGGUCGAAUGCACCGCACUCGAAAUGCGGCAUACCUGCAAGGGUAUAGUGGGUUCGAAUCCCACCCUCUCCGCCA